UGCGUAGGCGGCUUCUUAAGUCUGGUGUGAAAGCCCAGGGCUCAGCUCUGGAAGUGCACUAGAAACUGGGAAGCUUGAGUACCGGAGGGGAGAGUGGAAUUCCUGGUGUAGCGGUGAAAUGCGUAGAUAUCAGGAGGAAUACCGGUGGCGAAAGCGACUCUCUGGACGGUUACUGACGCUGAGGCACGAAAGCGUGGGGAGCAAACAGGAUUAGAUACCCUGGUAGUCCACGCCGUAAACGAUGGGCACUAGGUGUCGGGGGUAUCCACUCCCUCGGUGCCGCCGCUAACGCAUUAAGUGUCCCGCCUGGGAAGUACGGUCGCAAGAUUAAA
This 332-nucleotide ribosomal RNA is filed under the name uncultured Alteromonas sp. Its description in RNAcentral is "bacterial SSU rRNA". It matches the Rfam family "Bacterial small subunit ribosomal RNA", at positions 568 to 898 of the family's 1533-position model. The record is from RNAcentral. Lineage: Bacteria; Pseudomonadati; Pseudomonadota; Gammaproteobacteria; Alteromonadales; Alteromonadaceae.